Molecule: ribosomal RNA, 253 nt
Filed under: uncultured bacterium
Lineage: Bacteria
Description: partial 16S ribosomal RNA
Rfam family: Bacterial small subunit ribosomal RNA
Source: RNAcentral
UACGUAGGUGACAAGCGUUGUCCGGAUUUACUGGGCGUAAAGAGCGCGCAGGCGGUCGAUCAAGUCGAGUGUGAAAGCCCCUGGCUCAACUGGGGAAGUGCACCCGAAACUGAGUGGCUUGAGUACUAAAGAGGGUCGCGGAAUUCCCGGUGUAGAGGUGAAAUUCGUAGAUAUCGGGAGGAACACCGGUGGCGAAGGCGGCGACCUGGGUAGAUACUGACGCUGAGGCGCGAAAGCGUGGGGAGCAAACAGG